GUAGGUGGCAAGCGUUGUCCGGGAAUUAUUGGGGCGUAAAGCGCGCGCAGGCGGUUCUUUAAGUCUGAUGUGAAAGCCCACGGGCUCAACCGUGGGAGGGUCAUUGGAAACUGGAGAACUUGAGUACAGAAGAGGAAAGCGGAAUUCCACGUGUAGCGGUGAAAUGCGUAGAGAUGUGGAGGAACACCAGUGGCGAAGGCGGCUUUCUGGUCUGUAACUGACGCUGAGGCGCGAAAGCGUGAGGAGCAAACAGGAUUAGAUGCCCUGGUAGUCCACGCCGUAAACGAUGAGUGCUAAGUGUUAGGGGGUUUCCGCCCCUUAGUGCUGCAGCUAACGCAUUAAGCACUCCGCCUGGGGAGUACGGCCGCAAAGGCUG
Molecule: ribosomal RNA, 376 nt
Filed under: uncultured organism
Description: partial 16S ribosomal RNA
Rfam family: Bacterial small subunit ribosomal RNA
Source: RNAcentral